This is a long non-coding RNA of Canis lupus familiaris (dog), 669 nucleotides long. RefSeq lists it as uncharacterized. The transcript is spliced from 3 exons. NCBI's taxonomy places the organism in Eukaryota, Metazoa, Chordata, Mammalia, Carnivora, Canidae. The record is from RefSeq and is a predicted model, not a curated record.
UUCAGUCAGGGACAUCUCAGUGAUGUGUAAUUUUUCUUUAUACAUUUUAGUUUCCAUGAAAAAUUAAUUUCUAUGUGCAUAAAGCAGAUGAUAUUUGGGCAAAUAAUGAAAACCUUGUCUGCUGAAUAGCAGUGACCAUCUAAUUCCAGGUUUCUCCUUCACUCUUCACACUUAUUAUUACAAGAGUAAUUGCAACUUGGAGAGGGCCCUGGCAUGGAGAUCAUUCAUCUGGUCAAGUGUACACCCACUUCACCUGUACCAAAGGAAGAUGGAGGGUUGCUGAGUUCCAGCCCUUUGCAGGGACCUACACAGAGAAUGGUCAACUGAUCAGGCCUUGGUUUGAGGUUUACAGCAAAACAAGCUCUGUUCUUUCUAGGAUAUCUCUUAACACAAGAAAUGGAAAGUGGAGCUACCCCUGGCAUGAUAACCAUUGUCUUGACAAGCUCCCCCGCCAGCCCAGACCAACCUAGACCAGUUUGAGUUGAACUCCUAACUCCUGCCUGUGCAUAUGGACUGUGAAUGCCUUCUAUAAUGACCUACAACUACCUUUACCUCAUUAUAAUACUAAAAUGUCCACCCAAGAAAGAACACCAAUAUACAUAAUGUACAAUGUGUGUAUAGUCCUGUUUAUUUAGGAAGUGUGGGUGACCUUAGGGCUACUUCUGUAUA